ACGGACUUCUUCUUCUACACGGAGUUUGACUCCACCCACCCGCAUAGCCCUCCCCGAUGUCAUGAAGUCGACGAUUCGACCCGAUAUCGUCAACUUCGUCCACUCCAAAAUCUCGAAGAAUAAGAGGCAACCCUAUGCUGUCUCUGAGCGUGCCGGCCACCAAACCUCAGCUGAGUCAUGGGGAAUAGAUAGAGUCGUCUCAACUCUCAUGUAUUCCUCGUGUUUCUGGCGGUGGUACCCACAGAGAGCUGCUAUCAAGGUUGUCAAGGAUGUGGGGUUUGAACUACCACCAUCUGGGCAAUAUGUAAUUGGAACAUAUGCCCACUACGGAGAACCAUAGGGAGGAAAGCAACGAGGGUUUUGCCAAGGUUGCAGAGUCUCUUGGUCAUACAGUCCUUCGGUGGCGAGUAGUGCCAACUGAUAACACUAGAUUGGGAAAUUCUGCUUUGCAAACUGAAUCUUUUAUUGAGCAAGUCCGUGUAUUAGCUAGAAAAUAUUUAUAGAAGCUUCACUAUUUGGGUUAAUGCACGGGAUCUUCUGCCAUUCAACUUUCAAAGCUUCAAACAUUGGUUUCGUGGAGGCUUCAGUAUGUGGGAUUGUGAAGAUUAGUGUUUAAAUUCUAUGCUGAUUAGAUAUGCGUCAGGCUUGUGAAUCAUGCUAGAAUAUGUGCUCCUCAAGUCCAUUGUAGUUUCGAAUAGCCUAUUAUAUGGCAGUUGAGGGAGACCUUGCAUAUCUGUUGUACCUUGAUUUUCAAAUGUUUCAGCAGCAGAUGGUAAAGAUUCGUGCGGAUGGAUUCACAACAGAGUGACAAAAUUAAGAUGAUGUUCAUAUUGCUUACGUUGCAGAAUGUGUAAACUUUACUGUCAAUUGCUCCUCUUUGUUAAUCACCAAAAGAGGAUCAACUACUUAUGUGUCAAAAACUUCUGUUUACUAAUCUUGUUUAAAUUAGAAUGGUUGUUUACAUGUGAUUCUUUA
Tripterygium wilfordii is the source of this 975-nucleotide long non-coding RNA. RefSeq lists it as uncharacterized. The record is from RefSeq and is a predicted model, not a curated record. Lineage: Eukaryota; Viridiplantae; Streptophyta; Magnoliopsida; Celastrales; Celastraceae. The transcript is spliced from 3 exons.